UGGGGAAUAUUGGACAAUGGGCGAAAGCCUGAUCCAGCCAUGUCGCGUGUGUGAAGAAGGCCUUUUGGUUGUAAAGCACUUUAAGCGAGGAGGAGGCUACUUGGAUUAAUACUCUAGGAUAGUGGACGUUACUCGCAGAAUAAGCACCGGCUAACUCUGUGCCAGCAGCCGCGGUAAUACAGAGGGUGCGAGCGUUAAUCGGAUUUACUGGGCGUAAAGCGUGCGUAGGCGGCUUUUUAAGUCGGAUGUGAAAUCCCUGAGCUUAACUUAGGAAUUGCAUUCGAUACUGGGAAGCUAGAGUAUGGGGGAGGAUGGUAGAAUUCCAGGUGUAGCGGUGAAAUGCGUAGAGAUCUGGAGGAAUACCGAUGGCGAAGGCAACCAUCUGGCCUAAUACUGACGCUGAGGUACGAAAGCAUGGGGAGCAAACAGG
RNAcentral lists this ribosomal RNA (430 nucleotides) under Bacillota bacterium. Its description in RNAcentral is "Firmicutes bacterium partial 16S ribosomal RNA". It matches the Rfam family "Bacterial small subunit ribosomal RNA", at positions 355 to 776 of the family's 1533-position model. Lineage: Bacteria; Bacillati; Bacillota. The record is from RNAcentral.